Molecule: non-coding RNA, 4211 nt
Organism: Meleagris gallopavo (turkey)
Lineage: Eukaryota; Metazoa; Chordata; Aves; Galliformes; Phasianidae
Source: RefSeq, a predicted model, not a curated record
CCCGGAGUUGCCGCCAUCGCCAGCACUGCGCGGCUGCAGCCCGAAGGGUUUAAGCACGGUCACGCGUGCAGCCCCGAGGCCUCAACCGCGUCUCAGCGCUCCGCGGGCCGCUCCGGGCCUCCUUACGCUUUCAGCAGCAGUUCGGUACCGAAAGGGAAUCCGCUCGUUUGAGAGAUGUCAGCUCGUGCCGUGGGGCGGAGAGCGGAUCUGUGAGCGCGGAGCUGCGCUCGGAUCGCCUCGGCCCCGCGCAUGGAAACAAGCAUUUUUACAAGCCCCGAAAUGACCAUUUUUCCUAAAGCUCGCAUGGCGCACCAUUAAGGUAUAAGCUCAGGCUUUUUCCAUGUUAUAAUCCAAGGAAAGCUCGUUAUUUUCACGAUCUGACUCAUUUGGUUCCCUGAACGUUACCAGUUGGCGAUGCGGCUCAGCAUCAGUACAAACUGUGACUGUCAAAACGUUCUCAGCUCUGUUUGAAUCCACCACGUCUUACUGUGACCUUUCAAAGCUCAGAAACUGCCUAUUUUAAAUUGUUACCCCUGACAUGUGCUGCGGAUAUUUUUAACAGACUGUUUACUGGAAUUCUGGUUUCUGUUCCGCUCUUUUUUUUUUUUUUUUCUUUCUCUUUCAACAGCUUUUCUGCUUAGCAGCUCCCAGGCCCACACGCGGCACAGCACUGCAGGACAUCUGCCUGCAAGGCAUUGGACAACACGCUGCUGGGAGGGGGAAAGGGAACUGAAAGUCAGAAAGCAGUUGCAAUGCACCAGGGUUGUUUCUGUCAUCUCUGCUCCAGGUCCACCAUACUUGCACGGUCUGCCCAGCAUCCCUUUGCACAGUGGACGCGGUUGGAAACAUCAAGUCACUGCCUGUGGACACCUGGAGAGAAAAGCACUGUGUCAGCCUGCAGCUCCUGAACCACCUGGAUAUUGGCAACUAACAGCACGUAGGUAUUCACUGCAGGCAGAAGCGAUAAGGCGAGGAUUUGUAUCCUCUUACCCUCCACUUACUCAAAAUAAAUAAAUGAGAAAGAAAGAAAAAAGCCACAUUUAAUUGCACCACAAAGCAAACAGGAAGCCAGAGCAGUUUUAGGAGAGUUGAAACUAUUUGCUCCAUGUGGUUAACACUACCAAACAGGCGGGCAACCGCGUUUUUGCAUCAGCUAUGCAGUUGGUCUGUAAAUAUGGCAGGUAACUUGCUCUUAUUUAAAAGUCAAAAGAAGUUUUCUUGGCCACAGGAUACAAAAUAAGAUCACGGCCACCAGAAGCAUACGGCAGCGAUCCCCGCCGGCUGCAGGAGGAGAGCAGCAGCCUCACCAGUAAGAGCAGAGAGAAACCCAUGGUCACACCAAGAGCACACACUGAGGACCAUCAUUUCUUUUUGCUUCUCGCACACAGCUCAGUGACAGCUCAAUGCUGGCUUCUCGUUCUUUGUGGGGGUUUCUUGGAACCCACGUAUGUCAGGCUUUUCUUGAAGCUAGCAAUGUGCACACUGAGUGGAAGGGAGGAGAGCUGAAGGCUUCACUAGUUAUAAUGAACUUCAUAAACGCUGUAAUACCUCUGUAUCUUACAGGUGUUGGCUCAAGCAGAGCCAAAAGAGGAAGAACAGACCUUCCUCGUUUGAAAAAUCAGUGCCAGUGCUCUCAGGAAAGCACUGACUAAUCCAAACCAACUGCAGGUCCAACACUCAACUUUGUUGGUGAAAUUCAGAUGUGAAUCCACCAUUUUCAUGUCAAGCUCUGUAUGAUUCAUACAGCAAUCCCUGCUGUGGUACGACACUGGAGGUAGCGUGCACAGCUUGCUCAUCACCAUUAUGGAGCAAACAUCCAUCCCAGGAAAGCAGGUUCCCAACUAGCACUGGAAGCACAGCAGCACCAGCUCUGACAAAUUGCCAUUUGAAGGCAAUACAGCACUGCUAACAACCUCUGCUUUUCAUUAUUAAUGCAUUCAGAAUACAUAUACUUGUUUGUACUGCUUAACAAGGCUCUAGGUGGAAUGGUACCAUAACCUCUGCACACCCAGGCUUUUCCUCCUUUGUCCUUGACGUGUGAAAAAACUGAGAUGCAGAAAUGAAUUCCCAAAAGUUACGUAGGAAGAUAGUGGGGGAGGGUGGGGAAAAAAAAAAAAAAGGAAAAAUAAAAAUCAGAUUAGCUCUCUAGUGUCCUUACCAAAGGACUUGUUCUACUAGGAUAAUGUAAAUUUACUUGUAAUUCUUACCCCCCCGCAGAGGGGAGAAGAAAAGUGGAUGAAAUGGUUACUGAAGCUAACAGUUUGGUACAGAGUAAUUCAGGCAGGUUGGGAGGUGAUGUGCACUGGAAACCUGAUGGGUGGGAGCUCAAGGAGAUGACGACUGGAAAGGAGAGCACAUGGAAGAUUUCUCCAAGGAAGAGCAAAUGUUAGGAAACAGAUUUACCACAAGGACUGUGGGCUGGUAACCCUUCACAAUGGUCUACGGAGAGAACAGAAACCAGCAAAAGGCUGUGUUGAAUAAAACCGAGAGGAGAAAUUCACCAGCACACCUUCUUAAAAUGAGGGCUAAAACCACCACCACCUCUCUCAAGGUCAUUAUCACACGUCUCAGGUCCACAUUCCCACAGCUCAAGUCCCACCAAAACGGCACAUCCUCAGCUGGGCACAAGGGAGAGAAGGAAACGAGGGGUCACAAGCACAUUUGCCAUCCUUUACCAAGUAUGGGCUGCGGAACCCCACUAACAGUGUUGAAGGGCUUGCUGAACACCCAGCUCCUCACAUCGUGAAGCCCACAUCCUGACCCAUGCGUCCUAAACCAACCCUGAAACAGCUGCUGCUUUUUUCCCAGUCUUCACCUUCACUCAAGGAAGCCUCCCAGCACAGGGAUAUCUCUUUCGAGAAAAACACAGCAGUUAUUUCAUUGCUUGGGCUUUGGGUCAGCUGACCACAUGGUAGUUUUAAUAUGAAUUGUUUUUCUUUCAAAAACAAGGCCAUAGUUUGCUUGUUGUUAUUGACACAAGAGAGCUAUUUUGGAGCAGAAAACCACAACAAAGCUUCUGCACGUUUUUCUCUUCAUUUGAUGGACAUCAAACAAAUAACCCAUGAAGUAAGGUCUUCCCAUGAGCCGUACAGAAGCUGAUGGUGAAUUAUCAGGGAUAGGAUUCGAGGAAUUGAGCAGCCUGUUUGUUCAAGCAGCGUUAAAGCCUGGGUCUGCCUGAGUGACAGAGGGAGGGAAUGGCAACGUACUCAGCUCACCACUGCAGCCCUCAGCAGGAAUGUGCUGGCAUCCUUGCCCAGGUGAAAACAGUGUUUGGUUUGCGUGACUGUGCAUUUCAAUGAAGGGCAUCAUGGACUUGAGAACAAUGCACAUUUCCUUAUAUGCAGAGGAAAUAACUGACCUAAACCUGAGUUUAGUUGCAACAAGCAGCUAAGCUUCUUAUCUUGAUCAUCAGCAAAAGUCCAGGACUUCUGAAGGAGAAAAAUACCUGCAGGCACUCUCCUUAGGAGGCUAUAAAGUGAAUCAGGAGACCAGGCUUGAUACUCCUUGGUUGUAACUUUGAAAUUCUAAUGAAGAAACAACUUCAACACGUGCUGAAGCACUGCAUGGAGGAAAAAGUGAGUUCAUGUAAUUGGUGGCGGUGCAAGAAGCUCAACAUCCCAGAGAACACAAGGGAAGUAUUAGUCAAAUGCUAGACUGGGGGAGAUGCUGCUGACCCAGUUCUGUGAGACGCUGGGGACACGGUUUGGGUUUCUGACUGCAGAGAUGCAUGAAAAUAGUUUGGGGAAAAAAACAAAACAACAUAACACAAAAGCAAAUCAACACCAUCAAAGAAAUCACCCCAAAAUUACACACGCUGCUUCAAAACCCCAAGACUUACUGCUUUCAAGUGCAGGACCUGGCAUCAGGUGCCCACAUCCUAACUCUUACUGGCACUGGUGCUGUGGUCUUUAAUAAGCUGUUUCACCUGUUUCUCUGUAUGCAGAAUACAGAUAACAUAACUUCCGCCUCUCACAGGGCAUUUUGCAAAGCUUUGUUGUUGUAAAAGUCAUCUGAGGUCUUUAACUGGUGGUGCUACAGAGGUUCAAAGCAUCUGUGUCAACACAAGAUAUUUAUUUCUUCACUGCUUUGAAAUAGAAUUGCAUCUGCACACACAUUUGUCCCCUACACAAGGAAUGCCUCUCAGAAAUUUACUGCUGCUGAAACAAAACGAGUCCAGCAGAAGCACAGAGCAUCUCUUUUCUCACUAUCAG